CCCGCCGUAGCUCAAUCUGGCAGAGCAUCCGGCUGUAGACCGGAGUGUUGCCGGUUCAAAUCCGGCCGGCGGGA
RNAcentral lists this transfer RNA (74 nucleotides) under Microcaldota archaeon. RNAcentral's name for it is "Candidatus Micrarchaeota archaeon (hot springs metagenome) tRNA-Tyr". It matches the Rfam family "tRNA". Rfam says of the family: Transfer RNA (tRNA) molecules are approximately 80 nucleotides in length. Their secondary structure includes four short double-helical elements and three loops (D, anti-codon, and T loops). Further hydrogen bonds mediate the characteristic L-shaped molecular structure. tRNAs have two regions of fundamental functional importance: the anti-codon, which is responsible for specific mRNA codon recognition, and the 3' end, to which the tRNAs corresponding amino acid is attached (by aminoacyl-tRNA synthetases). tRNAs cope with the degeneracy of the genetic code in two manners: having more than one tRNA (with a specific anti-codon) for a particular amino acid; and 'wobble' base-pairing, i.e. permitting non-standard base-pairing at the 3rd anti-codon position. Lineage: Archaea; Nanobdellati; Microcaldota. The record is from RNAcentral.